UCGCAACAGAACCCGAGACCACUGGAAACUUGCAGGUUUUAUUGCAAACUGGAAAUUCAAUCCAGGUUCAUCAAAGGAGUCCCCUGGGAUUUCAACCUUUUCCGCUGCUCACGUUCCUAUUAAAAGACAACAAAGAGGAUUUUGAUUGCUAUUCUUUCCUUGAGUAGAGAGUUCAAGCUUGAGAGGUAUGGGUGAGAUGCGCACGUGACCCCACUCCUCUUCCAGCUUCAUGAUGGUAUUCCUCAUCAGAACCAUAAGGGGAAAACUUCAUUUUGUGUCAUUGGGGAAGAUGCCAACAAGACUUAGGAAACUUCUGAGGACUUGCAGAGGCAAAACCUGUUCUCAGAGUGUGUGGAAGAUGACAGAUUGACAGCCCU
This 377-nucleotide long non-coding RNA is filed under the name Anas platyrhynchos (mallard). RNAcentral's name for it is "lncRNA (ENSAPLG00020005850.1)". Lineage: Eukaryota; Metazoa; Chordata; Aves; Anseriformes; Anatidae. The record is from RNAcentral.